This is a long non-coding RNA of Helianthus annuus (common sunflower), 1881 nucleotides long. RefSeq lists it as uncharacterized. NCBI's taxonomy places the organism in Eukaryota, Viridiplantae, Streptophyta, Magnoliopsida, Asterales, Asteraceae. The record is from RefSeq and is a predicted model, not a curated record. The transcript has 6 exons.
UACAACCCCCGAAUCCAUUAGUUCUUUGCCCCUCAGGAAACCUAAUAGACGUCCCUAAUAAUCAAACGGAAGAGUGAAUGUGUUCCGUCUCUUCACCUUCAUCAUCCUUGCCGUUUUCCCUCCUCUCCCUUUAUCGCCAUCAUUUGUGAAUGUCAAGCACACAAAACGUCCAAUUUCAUUCGGUACGCCAUGAAUCUAAUCAUUGAAACUCCCAUGAUUGCUAUAUCAAUAAAGGAAAUUCACCACCGAAUGCUAGAAUCAUUCGUUCAGGGUUACAGUCAUGGCCUCCAAGACACUCUUAAUAGGUCCAUGGCCAUCUCUACCCGAUAUUUUACAAGCAUUUUGAAGCGAAGCAGAUUCACCACUUCAAUCCAGUGGACUCUCAAUUUGCCAAGAAAGGCAAUUAACAAAGGGAUUGGUAUAGAUAAUAUGCAUUACUUUGACGAUGGCCUCUAGACAUAUAAAACUAUAAUGGAAGUUUAAAGAUAAUGAUGUUCCUCAAUGUGCAUAAUGAAACUCUCGGUAUCUAUUUUGAUGAAAAAUAGUGGGGCGAUGAUGAGAAGGUUUUUGUGCGUGAUGAUGAGAAUUUGAACGAAAAGUAUGAGAAUGAGGUUUCAGAUGUUGAUGGUGGUUAUAAAAUUGGUGCUUAUAAGAAUAAUGAUGGACAAAGGAGGAGGGAGGAUGUAAAUUAUAGGGAUUACGGGAGUGAAAUGUUGGUGGAUCAGUGACUGUUGCAAAGGAUGUUAAAAGUUAUCAUUAUCCACUGAGACCUGAUGCUGAGAUUGUUCAUACUACAUAUACUACAUGAGGACCGGGAUAUGUAAAUAUGGAUCAAGCAGCAAGUUUAAUUAUCCUCUAAGAACUACCAUCAUCAAAUAUUAUCAACCCUAAGCUCUAAGCUCUGGUCUGCUGGUUGGUGCGCUUUUUUGCUACUCGCUUGCCGCCGGUUUGAACCUCACAUCACCCUUCUGGCCGGUUUAUUGCUUUUGUUAUUACAUGUUAUUGAAUUUUGAACCUAUAAUUGAAGAGACUUGAUCUACUACAGAGACUUGUAAACUUAUAUGCUUUUGUUAUAUGGAAGAAUAAUAAUUGUAAUUGUAAAUCCCUAUAUUACAGAGUAGGUGAUCUUUGAGCUUUCCUGCCAAUCCGUCAUUCGUUGCUGGUGACGGUAAGGGUUCUGCAUAUAUACACAUACUAAAUUACAUUUUACGUUAUAUGUAUAUACACACUCUUCAGUCUUAAGAGAUUAGGUUUUCACAGGCGUCAAACGCAAACAAGUUUCUUCUCCGGCAGCCUGACCACAAGAUAUGUUGUUUGUUCCUAGCUUUUGUUGUAUGCAUGGUAAUGUCUUUUUUUAGAUAGAAAGCAAGUUUUGUCAUUUCAGGUGCUGGUUAGCAAGCAAUAUGACCGAGGUUUGCUUUGUUUUAGCUCAACUCUAUCCGGUGUUGGUUGUCUUUAUGUGAAGUAAACAUUCUGACCCAACACAGUAUUUAUUACCAUUUUCAUUAGAUUGUGCAUGUUUGGGUUUUCGGUGCGAUUACAGAUUGUAACUGUUCUAGAUUUUGCAAAACCAGAGGGUUGCCAUCUAGUCCAUACACUCCACAAAUGGCUGUGUAAUACUCUCUUCGCCCACUUGUUUGAUGACCAUGAACGCAAAGCUGUCAUAUCUCAUAAAGAGCGUAGAGGUUCAUGAAUGCAAGUGGGUUUGCUGUUGUUGCAAGUGUUGUGUUGCUAGGAGUGAUGCAGGUUUUGUUGCAAUUGCUACAUCAUUUGUAGAUAGCUUUUGUUUAGAAGUUUUGUAGCUUUAGUACUCCAAUUGAGAACUUAUGUAUGAAUUUUGGUAUGUUAUUGUUAAUAUCAUUUGGGUUUUGAGUUUUUUCA